This 372-nucleotide ribosomal RNA is filed under the name uncultured organism. RNAcentral's name for it is "partial 16S ribosomal RNA". It matches the Rfam family "Bacterial small subunit ribosomal RNA", at positions 527 to 896 of the family's 1533-position model. The record is from RNAcentral.
GUAGGUGGCAAGCGUUGUCCGGAAUUAUUGGGCGUAAAGCGCGCGCAGGCGGUUUCUUAAGUCUGGUGUGAAAGCCCACGGCUCAACCGUGGAGGGUCAUUGGAAACUGGAGAACUUGAGUACAGAAGAGGAAAGCGGAAUUCCACGUGUAGCGGUGAAAUGCGUAGAGAUGUGGAGGAACACCAGUGGCGAAGGCGGCUUUCUGGUCUGUAACUGACGCUGAGGCGCGAAAGCGUGGGGAGCAAACAGGAUUAGAUACCCUGGUAGUCCACGCCGUAAACGAUGAGUGCUAAGUGUUAGGGGGUUUCCGCCCCCCUUAGUGCUGCAGCUAACGCAUUAAGCACUCCGCCUGGGAGUACGGCCGCAAGGCUG